RNAcentral lists this ribosomal RNA (558 nucleotides) under uncultured bacterium. RNAcentral's name for it is "partial 16S ribosomal RNA". It matches the Rfam family "Bacterial small subunit ribosomal RNA", at positions 355 to 905 of the family's 1533-position model. The record is from RNAcentral.
UGGGGAAUUUUGGACAAUGGGCGAAAGCCUGAUCCAGCAAUGCCGCGUGUGUGAAGAAGGCCUUCGGGUUGUAAAGCACUUUUGUCCGGAAAGAAAUCCUUGGCUCUAAUACAGUCGGGGGAUGACGGUACCGGAAGAAUAAGCACCGGCUAACUACGUGCCAGCAGCCGCGGUAAUACGUAGGGUGCAAGCGUUAAUCGGAAUUACUGGGCGUAAAGCGUGCGCAGGCGGUUUGCUAAGACCGAUGUGAAAUCCCCGGGCUCAACCUGGGAACUGCAUUGGUGACUGGCAGGCUAGAGUAUGGCAGAGGGGGGUAGAAUUCCACGUGUAGCAGUGAAAUGCGUAGAGAUGUGGAGGAAUACCGAUGGCGAAGGCAGCCCCCUGGGCCAAUACUGACGCUCAUGCACGAAAGCGUGGGGAGCAAAACAGGAUUAGAUACCCUGGUAGUCCACGCCCUAAACGAUGUCAACUAGUUGUUGGGGAUUCAUUUCCUUAGUAACGUAGCUAACGCGUGAAGUUGACCGCCUGGGGAGUACGGUCGCAAGAUUAAAACUCAAA